This is a long non-coding RNA of Brassica napus (rape), 634 nucleotides long. RefSeq lists it as uncharacterized. Lineage: Eukaryota; Viridiplantae; Streptophyta; Magnoliopsida; Brassicales; Brassicaceae. The transcript has 3 exons. The record is from RefSeq and is a predicted model, not a curated record.
CCUAUGAUGAUUGGUCUCGAUGCUGCGUCUCGUCUUCUCCGAUACACAUAUACAUAUGUGAAGACGAAAGUGACACAGGUGAUGAGCAAGCAAGAGAGAUGAGGAACAAGGUGAUGAAGCUGAUGGUGGUGAACGACAAGCCUGAAAACUUCUUUCAGGUUUUCACUUUGACGGCUAGGUUUAGUGAAGGUUCCUAUCGACGAUGAUAAAGAAUACAUUGAAGCUAUUAAAGAAGCAAGUUUUGGUGUUCAGCAAAGUGUCUUCGUCAACUGUUUUGUACAAUGUUGCUUUCAAAUAAUACCAUAACUCCAGAAACAUAUGGAAUGUUACUUGGAAAAUACUAUCAACAGAUAUAUCAUGCAACGAAAGGAAAAAAAUGGAUGAUACAAAUUUAAAUUUCUCAGAAGAUCAAAUUAAGAGUUUAGCUUUGGCGGAUAUCGAAUCACUCAUGCGUAUCAAUGGAAGCUCCUUGACAAUAUUUAAGAUUUGAAAUGCCUUAUCAAUAAUAUAAUCUCUGUCUAUUGUUAAAUGGUGGCUUUGAUUGCAAUUCUAUUUAUCUUUUAUGUUGUAUUUUAUUAAUAUUAAUUUAAAAUAUGUUAUUAUAAUUAAAUAACAAAGGCAUUUGUGUUCAAUA